GUUGCUCCUAUUGUCAUUGGACAAAGUAAUUAGAAGCAUAAUCAUGGCAAUUAUAAACUCAGUGGAUGGAAUAAGUGGCAGAAUAUACUAUGCUAAAGGGAGAAUUGAUGAAUUGGAGGGUAGAGUUACAUCAUUACUAGAAUGCGGCAAAUAAUAACAAUAAAAAGAAGAUAUCAAAUAAAUAUUAAAAGGAUGAAGAUAAAAUUGAAGAUCGUACAUUUAUUUAGUCAGAGUUCCAAAAAUAAAAAGAAAAAAUUCAAAAGGCAAGGUUGAGAAGUAUACAGAACUGAUAAAAGAAAAUAAUUCUUGGUUUCUGGAAGCUACACAAAUCCCAAGAUAUUUUUUAAAGGAUAUUUACGUCUUGGAAUUGAAAUUGUAGAUAAGCAAAGAUAAAGAAAAAUAUUAAAAGCAACUAGAGAUAAAUUAUGUAAUCCAUGUAAGAGUAUGAUAAUUAGACUUGUUGGCCAAAAAUAAAUUCUAAGCCUCCCAACUCACUAAUAGACCCUCCUCUUGGCCAAGGAGACCCAAAUAAACCGCAAAAACUAGUUCAGACCAUGAGGGAAAGGAGAGGUGAACAUAACUCAUUAUACUCUCCUCUCUUUGGAUUUUAGGCACACAACUGACCAGCAUUAGCAUUAAAAUAGAGAUCCUAAAACUGACAACAGAUUCUGUGUAGCAAUAAGACACCAAACUCUAACCUGGCUCUCAAUAUAGCAUCACAUGACAGACAGCAGUGCCCUGAAAGAAACAACAGUAUUUUAUUCCAAAAUACAUUUCUUUGACAUAUUUUGAAAUGGCCCUGCAAAACUGCACCUUGCGGGAGAAAUUUACAUUCCAUAGAGAAUCCCCUUCCCUUUCUAGGUCUUUUUCUGAUCCUGACAAGAUUAGCUGAAAGUCUGGUAACUUUUAAGGGCCUGAAAAGAAAAUAUUUGCCACCUAUUGGCUCUCGAGGCAGCUACCUAUGAGACUUCAUCUACAUUAUAAGAACUUGGGUUUACACAAGCACUUAUCUUAACCCAGACACUUCUUUCAAUUGAUUCUAGGCCUUCAGAUAAUAACUCUCUACUAUUACCCCCCUGUCCCUUCCCUGCCCCCACUUCAAGUUGUCCUGCCAUUCUGGACUGAUCCAAUGUAUGUCUCACAAGUAUUGAUUGAUGUCUUAUGUCUCCCUAAAACAUAUAAAACCACGCUGUAACCCAACCACCUUGGGCACAUGUUCUCGGGACUGCCCAAAGCUGUGUCACAGGUUGUGUUCCAUAAUCUUGGCAAAAUAAAUUUCUAAAUUGAUUGAGAUCUGUCUCAGAUACUUUUUGGUUUAGAGAGUAAUGGGUGACUUU
This 1337-nucleotide long non-coding RNA is filed under the name Pan troglodytes (chimpanzee). RNAcentral's name for it is "long non-coding RNA NONPTRT010081". Lineage: Eukaryota; Metazoa; Chordata; Mammalia; Primates; Hominidae. The record is from RNAcentral.